AGUGAACGCUGGCGGUAGGUCUAACACAUGCAAGUCGAACGGCAGCACAGUAAGAGCUUGCUCUUACGGGUGGCGAGUGGCGGACGGGUGAGGAAUACGUCGGAAUCUACUUUUUCGUGGGGGAUAACGUAGGGAAACUUACGCUAAUACCGCAUACGACCUACGGGUGAAAGCAGGGGAUCUUCGGACCUUGCGCGAUUGAAUGAGCCGAUGUCGGAUUAGCUAGUUGGCGGGGUAAAGGCCCACCAAGGCGACGAUCCGUAGCUGGUCUGAGAGGAUGAUCAGCCACACUGGAACUGAGACACGGUCCAGACUCCUACGGGAGGCAGCAGUGGGGAAUAUUGGACAAUGGGCGCAAGCCUGAUCCAGCCAUACCGCGUGGGUGAAGAAGGCCUUCGGGUUGUAAAGCCCUUUUGUUGGGAAAGAAAAGCAGCAGGUUAAUACCCCGCUGUUCUGACGGUACCCAAAGAAUAAGCACCGGCUAACUUCGUG
RNAcentral lists this ribosomal RNA (492 nucleotides) under uncultured bacterium. Its description in RNAcentral is "partial 16S ribosomal RNA". It matches the Rfam family "Bacterial small subunit ribosomal RNA", at positions 29 to 507 of the family's 1533-position model. The record is from RNAcentral.